GUUGCUUCUUGGCUUUUUGUUUAAGAUCAAGUAUAGUGUUUGUUUUUAUCGCUUUAAUAUCUGAUAUAUUCUUUAACUAAAAAUAUUGUUAUUAAAUAGGUUUUUAGAUUAGAGAGUUGGAGUUGGGGUUUGCUCCCUCUGCUCCACCCAUCAACCUGUUAUUAUAGUAUCUUCAUAGUUUGAAUUACGGGGGAUACUAU
Molecule: small nuclear RNA, 200 nt
Organism: Neoarius graeffei (lesser salmon catfish)
Lineage: Eukaryota; Metazoa; Chordata; Actinopteri; Siluriformes; Ariidae
Product: U2 spliceosomal RNA
Exons: 1
Source: RefSeq, a predicted model, not a curated record